This 746-nucleotide unclassified non-coding RNA is filed under the name Hevea brasiliensis (rubber tree). Lineage: Eukaryota; Viridiplantae; Streptophyta; Magnoliopsida; Malpighiales; Euphorbiaceae. The record is from RNAcentral.
AAAAAAAGAAACAUCUCGUUUUCUAUGGCAUUGUCGCCUCCUCUAUCUUAAUACCCUCACAUGAAAUCAUCUUCGAGUUCUUGCAGGGACUUGUUGCUCGAAGCAAUCUGUUUGUUGGAGGUCAUCUUGUCCGAGUCCAUCAAUCCCUUGUAACUCCUUACCUCUGCCUGUCGCUCAUUUUCCAGUCUCGCUAACUCGUCCCGCCGCUUCUUGUUUCUCAUCUGAAGUUUUCUCUCCGCUCUUUCAGCUGCAUUCACAGAUUCUCGCUCAGCUUUCAAGUCUGGCUUUCUUUCAACCUUUGUCUUGUUCAAUCUAUUAACAAUCUCAUUAAUCCGUCUCUCUACCCUCACAGUGCGCACCAUCUUAUUAUUGUGAAAACUAACUUGCCCAACGUCCAUAGAAGGAGUUUUCUUCAAAUUAAACCACGGAGUAUAAACAACAUCGACAUUAUUCACCUUAUUCCCUUGAAUAGAGUUGGCUUUGACAAGCUGAGCACAGUCUUCCAAUAAACCUUCAUUUAUAUCAUCAAUUGUCUGGCCUUUGUUCAGUCUUAAAUAAACAUGUGCAGAGGACAUCUUAUCCACGUGAAACCAUAUAUCCUCCGGGAAUCCAUACUUGAUGAGCUCCUCGUUCUCGUGCUUGUCGAGACCCAUAAAGAUGACGUACUCGCCGGCAUCCGCCCGGGAUGACUUGAAGUAGAAAACCAUCGUCUUCUCGCCGAUUGAUGGGGGCGGAGUCAAAAAUUA